Molecule: ribosomal RNA, 496 nt
Filed under: uncultured bacterium
Lineage: Bacteria
Description: partial 16S ribosomal RNA
Rfam family: Bacterial small subunit ribosomal RNA
Source: RNAcentral
GAUGAACGCUGGCGGCGUGCCUAAUACAUGCAAGUCGAGCGAACAGACGAGAAGCUUGCUCCUCUGACGUUAGCGGCGGACGGGUGAGUAACACGUGGAUAACCUACCUAUAAGACUGGGAUAACUUCGGGAAACCGGAGCUAAUACCGGAUAAUAUAUUGAACCGCAUGGUUCAAUAGUGAAAGACGGUUUUGCUGUCACUUAUAGAUGGAUCCGCGCCGCAUUAGCUAGUUGGUAAGGUAACGGCUUACCAAGGCAACGAUGCGUAGCCGACCUGAGAGGGUGAUCGGCCGCACUGGAACUGAGACACGGUCCAGACUCCUACGGGAGGCAGCAGUAGGGAAUCUUCCGCAAUGGGCGAAAGCCUGACGGAGCAACGCCGCGUGAGUGAUGAAGGUCUUCGGAUCGUAAAACUCUGUUAUUAGGGAAGAACAAAUGUGUAAGUAACUAUGCACGUCUUGACGGUACCGAAUCAGAAAGCCACGGCUAACUACGU